This 821-nucleotide ribosomal RNA is filed under the name Mandarina sp. A AD-2005. RNAcentral describes it as "partial 16S ribosomal RNA". Lineage: Eukaryota; Metazoa; Mollusca; Gastropoda; Stylommatophora; Camaenidae. The record is from RNAcentral.
AGCUUUUGAGCUAAAUAUAUUAUAAUUUUAGUUAUUUAUAUAAAGUGUUGUAUAACUUUAUUAAAAAAUAUAUUUAGGGGUGAUAGGCUAUUCAAAAACUAAGAUAUCUUGAAUCUAAUUAAAAGUAUCUAGUACAUUUUACACGACUAUUAAGUGUUUAGGCUUAAUAGAAAUAUUAACCUUUUUUAAUGAAUUUCUUUUUAUAAUUUAAUAACUAAAUUUUUAAACUAAUUAAUAUACAAUUAUUUAAAUUUUAUAUUAAGUAAUUAGAUAAUUUUAAGUUUAAUUAUAUUUGCAAUAAUGUUAAUAUUAGUAUAUAUUUUUAUAUUUAUAUAAUGAACUCGGCAAAAAUGUAUUUCUCAACUGUUUAUCAAAAACAUAACUAUGUGCAAUAAUACAUAGCAAUUUCUGCUCAAUGAUUUUAUUAAAUAGCCGCAGUAUUCUGACUGUGCAAAGGUAGCAUAAUCAAUUGACUUAUAAUUGAAGUCUAGAAUGAAUGAAAAUAAUGGGAAGCUACUAUAUAUUGUAAAUAUAUAUAAUUUAUUUAUGAAGUGAAAAUACUUCUAUAGACAUAAUAGACGAGAAGACCCUAGAAAUUUUUAGUAAUUAAAAUUUAUAUUUGAGAAAUUUUUUGUUGGGGCGACAAAGUAGCAAAUUAACCUACUUAAAUUAACUUGCACUUUUUUUUUUGUUUGAAUAAAUUACUCUAGGGAUAACAGCAUAAUAUUUUUAAAGUUUAUGACCUCGAUGUUGGAUUAGGAAAUAAUAACUUAAAAGGUUUUUUAUAUAGCUCUGUUCGAGCAAAAAACUCCUACAUGAUC